Molecule: ribosomal RNA, 253 nt
Filed under: uncultured bacterium
Lineage: Bacteria
Description: partial 16S ribosomal RNA
Rfam family: Bacterial small subunit ribosomal RNA
Source: RNAcentral
UACGAAGGGGGCUAGCGUUGUUCGGAAUUACUGGGCGUAAAGCGCACGUAGGCGGAUUUGUUAGUCAGGGGUGAAAUCCCGGGGCUCAACCUCGGAACUGCCUUUGAUACUGCAAGUCUCGAGUCCGGAAGAGGUGAGUGGAAUUCCUAGUGUAGAGGUGAAAUUCGUAGAUAUUAGGAAGAACACCCGUGGCGAAGGCGGCUCUCUGGGACGGUACUGACGCUGAGACGCGAAAGCGUGGGGAGCGAACAGG